GGGCGCAGAACCAGCCUCCCCAGGAGGCCCCCAGCCCGCGUUUGCGCGUGCGCUCGCGAGCUGUCGUUACGUAGAGGCGGAAGCAGAACGCACGCCGGGCGCCUCAGCUCGCGUCUGGAUCCGUUGGAGCUUUAGAGUCCGAGGACUUCAAGAGGCACAAGAAGCUGGGCUGGGUACCUACUUGAGUCUGAGAGCCCUUCGAGGAGACCCUAGAGAAGACCUCCGCCUUCUAAGCCAGCCCUCUUCCUCAAAACAGAUCGUGGUCUCCCAGCCUCGGUUUCCCCGAAAGGAAUCUGAGAUCCAGAAAGGCAAGCGACACACCCCAGGGGCUGAACUGGAGCUUGGCAGAACAUGGAGGGAGAGGGGUCCUCCCUGGGUGACCCCAUGGAAAGCCCUAGCGGGGGUGAGGAUGGUGCCCAAUCUAUUAUGUCCACCAGGCCCCGAACACCGUCCAGGCUAUAAACAUGGUAGAGCACAGUGUUGGAUUUAGGGGUCGAGAGGUCCACGACUUUCAACACCGUACUUUGCGGGCAAGUUCUUCAGCCCACAUGGCAUCCCCUCUGUGGUCAAGUCGGCUCCCCAACUUCCUGUGUAUAUGAUAUCAGUCCCUCACGUAUCCAGUUUAUCUGAAAAUAUUAAAUGGAAAGUGCCAGGAAUAAUUCGUAAGUUUCAACUAAUUUUGAUUUGGUAUAUUAUUAUAAUUGUUGUAUUUUAUUAGAUGUUGUGAAUCUUACUGUGGCAAAUUCAUCAAGUAAAUGUCAUCUUUUUUUUUUUUUUUUUUUU
RNAcentral lists this long non-coding RNA (783 nucleotides) under Heterocephalus glaber (naked mole-rat). RNAcentral's name for it is "lncRNA (ENSHGLG00000030796.2)". Lineage: Eukaryota; Metazoa; Chordata; Mammalia; Rodentia; Bathyergidae. The record is from RNAcentral.